AUUGAACGCUGGCGGAAUGCUUUACACAUGCAAGUCGAACGGCAGCACGGACCUUGGUCUGGUGGCGAGUGGCGAACGGGUGAGUAAUACAUCGGAACGUGCCCAGUCGUGGGGGAUAACGUAGCGAAAGCUACGCUAAUACCGCAUACGAUCUAAGGAUGAAAGCGGGGGAUCGCAAGGCCUCGCGCGAUUGGAGCGGCCGAUGGCAGAUUAGGUAGUUGGUGGGGUAAAGGCUCACCAAGCCGACGAUCUGUAGCUGGUCUGAGAGGACGACCAGCCACACUGGGACUGAGACACGGCCAGACUCCUACGGAGGCAGCAGUGGGAAUUUUGGACAAUGGGCGCAAGCCUGAUCCAGCCAUUCCGCGUGCAGGAUGAAGG
This 381-nucleotide ribosomal RNA is filed under the name uncultured bacterium. RNAcentral's name for it is "bacterial SSU rRNA". It matches the Rfam family "Bacterial small subunit ribosomal RNA", at positions 30 to 414 of the family's 1533-position model. The record is from RNAcentral.